This 468-nucleotide ribosomal RNA is filed under the name uncultured bacterium. Its description in RNAcentral is "partial 16S ribosomal RNA". It matches the Rfam family "Bacterial small subunit ribosomal RNA", at positions 28 to 507 of the family's 1533-position model. The record is from RNAcentral.
GACGAACGCUGGCGGCGUGCUUAACACAUGCAAGUCGAACGGAAAGGCCCUGCUUUUGUGGGGUGCUCGAGUGGCGAACGGGUGAGUAACACGUAAGUAACCUGCCCUUGACUUUGGGAUAACUUCAGGAAACUGGGGCUAAUACCGGAUAGGAGCUCCUGCUGCAUGGUGGGGGUUGGAAAGUUUCGGCGGUUGGGGAUGGACUCGCGGCUUAUCAGCUUGUUGGUGGGGUAGUGGCUUACCAAGGCUUUGACGGGUAGCCGGCCUGAGAGGGUGACCGGCCACAUUGGGACUGAGAUACGGCCCAGACUCCUACGGGAGGCAGCAGUGGGGAAUAUUGCACAAUGGGCGGAAGCCUGAUGCAGGAACGCCGCGUGCGGGAUGACGGCCUUCGGGUUGUAAACCGCUUUCGCCUGUGACGAAGCGUGAGUGACGGUAAUGGGUAAAGAAGCACCGGCUAACUACGUG